Molecule: long non-coding RNA, 601 nt
Organism: Eubalaena glacialis (North Atlantic right whale)
Lineage: Eukaryota; Metazoa; Chordata; Mammalia; Artiodactyla; Balaenidae
Exons: 3
Source: RefSeq, a predicted model, not a curated record
UAUAUAGAAUUACAGAAAUAUUUAGUUCCAGAAUCUAUUAGUGUAUUACUGUAAUUUUUGGUAUGGUAUGCUGUAUUAAUGUUACCUCCGCUAAAUAUCUGAUGUACUCAAUCCCUUUGUCACCAUUCACCCUGGUUUUAGCUCUUACGCUUUGGUGUUGGUUCUUGGUCAGUGUUUUAGAACAAUAGACACAAAGUCUACGGUAAGGAAUAGUCUUAACUGGUAAAACUGAGAUAGCUGGAUUUGGAAGGAACUCUUAAUAGUAAUGGAUUUGGGGAUUAUUUAGGUUCCUUGGUUAAUGUUUGUUUCUUUUGUCUGUUUCUUUUUCUUUCGUUUCUACACAUUCAUGCAGUAUUUCAUGGUUCUAUCAAAGCAGCAGUAAAAAAAAAUACUCUUGACGCAUGAAAAUUAACUGUUCUUUUCCCUGGUUCAGCCUGAACUAUAUACCAGGCCCUGCUGAAAAUACCACCCAACAGUUUUCUUCUGCAGCUUAUCCAGUUUCUCUUAAGUGCCCUGUACAUAUUUGAAGCAGCCGACACGAGUCGUUGUUCAUAAAACAGCUUUUGAAAGUUGAGAGCACACCCCUGGAGAACCGACUGUG